UCUGUAGCGGGUCUGAGAGGAUGAUCCGCCACACUGGGACUGAGACACGGCCCAGACUCCUACGGGAGGCAGCAGUGGGGAAUAUUGGACAAUGGGGGGAACCCUGAUCCAGCCAUGCCGCGUGUGUGAAGAAGGCCUUUUGGUUGUAAAGCACUUUAAGCGAGGAGGAGGCUACCGAGAUUAAUACUCUUGGAUAGUGGACGUUACUCGCAGAAUAAGCACCGGCUAACUCUGUGCCAGCAGCCGCGGUAAUACAGAGGGUGCAAGCGUUAAUCGGAUUUACUGGGCGUAAAGCGCGCGUAGGUGGCCAAUUAAGUCAAAUGUGAAAUCCCCGAGCUUAACUUGGGAAUUGCAUUCGAUACUGGUUGGCUAGAGUAUGGGAGAGGAUGGUAGAAUUCCAGGUGUAGCGGUGAAAUGCGUAGAGAUCUGGAGGAAUACCGAUGGCGAAGGCAGCCAUCUGGCCUAAUACUGACACUGAGGUGCGAAAGCAUGGGGAGCAAACAGGAUUAGAUACCCUGGUAGUCCAUGCCGUAAACGAUGUCUACUAGCCGUUGGGGCCUUUGAGGCUUUAGUGGCGCAGCUAACGCGAUAAGUAGACCGCCUGGGGAGUACGGUCGCAAGACUAAAACUCAAAUGAAUUGACGGGGGCCCGCACAAGCGGUGGAGCAUGUGGUUUAAUUCGAUGCAACGCGAAGAACCUUACCUGGUCUUGACAUAGUAAGAACUUUCCAGAGAUGGAUUGGUGCCUUCGGGAACUUACAUACAGGUGCUGCAUGGCUGUCGUCAGCUCGUGUCGUGAG
This 800-nucleotide ribosomal RNA is filed under the name uncultured bacterium. RNAcentral describes it as "bacterial SSU rRNA". It matches the Rfam family "Bacterial small subunit ribosomal RNA", at positions 280 to 1071 of the family's 1533-position model. The record is from RNAcentral.